Triticum dicoccoides is the source of this 1623-nucleotide long non-coding RNA. RefSeq lists it as uncharacterized. The record is from RefSeq and is a predicted model, not a curated record. The transcript has 4 exons. NCBI's taxonomy places the organism in Eukaryota, Viridiplantae, Streptophyta, Magnoliopsida, Poales, Poaceae.
UCCCCACCACGACUCCUUCACUUGUCCCCCUCCCCAACAUGCCGGCUCGAUCCAAUCUGAUCGCAUCCUAGGACCUCCCCCGACCAUGGAACCCUAGCGCUGCGCCGCCGCCGCCGCCAUAGUUCCCCGACCACCCCUGCAACCCCACCAUCUCCUCGCCCCUCCUCAUCCCCGACCAAAUUCUCACCCCUGCAACCUCGCCAUCUCCUCGCCCCCUCCUCAUCCAAGGCAGCUUUCUAUUCGGUAAUAACUUUGGGGGCAUACAGGUUGUGUGGACCUCUGGUGACUGAGAUCACCAGGGCCUCGUCCUCGUCGCCGGGAGCUCGGAUUCAUCGUCAGCAAGGCCUGCAUCCACGCCUACAUCACAUCUAGCAAGUUUUCUUGAAGAUUGUCUGUCGAUUGGAGUGACGAUAACACUACGAUCUUGACCGAGCUCUUUGUCCAGCAAGUGCAUGACACUUGACCCAAAAUGCUUACGAGGAAGUUGCAAAGGAUUUCAAAAUCAGAACAGGUCUGGAGUACACCAGGCUCCAGUUGAAGAACAAGUGGGAUAAGUUGAAGACUGGUUACAGCAAUUUCAGAAAGCUCAAGUUGAAGGAGACCGGUGGUGGUUGGGACUAUGAGAGAAACACCAUCAAGCAAGAUGCUGAAUGGUGGAAGAAAGCAAAGAUAGACAUUCCUGGCUGUGGCAAGUUCCAAAAGCGUGGACUACAAAAUGAGAAUAACUUAUCUAUCAUGUUUGGUGACAUCACGAGUGAUGGUACAGAUCACUGGAAUCCAUGUGCCUAAUUUUCAACGAGGUGUGGCGCCAAGAACACCUAAGGAGAAAUUUAACAAGAUACACUCAUCCAAGCUUAAUGUGAUCGAGAGAGCGUUUGGCGUGUGGAAAAUGAAGUGGCAGAUUCUACUAAAGAUGCCCAAUUAUUUGGUUGAAACUCAGAAGAUGAUAGUGGCUGCAACUAUGACCCUUCACAACUAUGUUCGAUAUCAUGAUAAGGGCGAUCUUCACUUUCUUCAAGUCGACAGAGAUCCCAGCUAUGUCCCAACUAUCCCUUCAAGGUAUCAACGGUACGCCAUCCCUCCAAAUGCAUCAGACGCGUCAACCUCAGAGGCUAGCGAUAAAGACAUGGACCGGUUUUGUAAUAGACUAGCAACUGAUAUUGCUCUUGGUUGGUGAAUUUCACUUCUGCUAUAAAUCUGAAAUUAUUUGAAGUAGAGUAUAAAUGUUUUUGGUUCUAUUCAAGCCAUCACCAGCUGCCACAAUAGGAAAGAAGCAAGCAAAACAACCAGAAGCGCUCAGUUUGCCGCACCCAACAAUUCUUAUUUACGGGAAAGCCAACCAAAAUAUUCAAUUCAGACUUCGUAGAGCCGGUGCUACUGCUGUGCAUAAAGAUUUUCAUGUUUUGAAAAUUGUUUCUCCAGGAGGUUCACUAGAACUAGAUUGAUGUCUACAAAAUAUGUGUAUUUAUGUGGCUUUUGUUCGUGUUUGUCAUCUGAAAAUCCUAUUUGUUUAUGUUGAUAAAAUCAUGUAAUUUCAGCAAACUCAUGCUGAAGUGUUCUUGUGCGAUAAAUUCCAUUAUGUGUGAAAUUUUGCACAAUGAAAUUAUGUGUGAAAUUUCUGCA